Molecule: ribosomal RNA, 421 nt
Filed under: uncultured bacterium
Lineage: Bacteria
Description: bacterial SSU rRNA
Rfam family: Bacterial small subunit ribosomal RNA
Source: RNAcentral
AAGGAAUAUUGGACAAUGGACGCAAGUCUGAUCCAGCCAUGCCGCGUGAAGGAUGAAUGCCCUCUGGGUUGUAAACUUCUUUUAUAGGGGAAGAAAGAUACUUUUUUUAAGGUAGUUGACGGUACCCUAUGAAUAAGCACCGGCUAACUCCGUGCCAGCAGCCGCGGUAAUACGGAGGAUGCAAGCGUUAUCCGGAUUUACUGGGUUUAAAGGGUGCGUAGGCGGGCAUGUAAGUCAGUGGUGAAAUACCGGAGCUUAACUUCGGAACUGCCAUUGAUACUAUAUGUCUUGAAUAUUGUGGAGGUAAGCGGAAUAUGUCAUGUAGCGGUGAAAUGCAUAGAUAUGACAUAGAACACCGAUUGCGGAGGCAGCUUGCUACGCAAAUAUUGACGCUGAGGCACGAAAGCGUGGGGAUCAAACA